GAUGAACGCUGGCGGCGUGCCUAAUACAUGCAAGUCGAGCGAACAGACGAGGAGCUUGCUCCUCUGACGUUAGCGGCGGACGGGUGAGUAACACGUGGAUAACCUACCUAUAAGACUGGGAUAACUUCGGGAAACCGGAGCUAAUACCGGAUAAUAUAUUGAACCGCAUGGUUCAAUAGUGAAAGACGGUUUUGCUGUCACUUAUAGAUGGAUCCGCGCCGCAUUAGCUAGUUGGUAAGGUAACGGCUUACCAAGGCAACGAUGCGUAGCCGACCUGAGAGGGGGAUCGGCCACACUGGAACUGAGACACGGUCCAGACUCCUACGGGAGGCAGCAGUAGGGAAUCUGCCGCAAUGGGCGAAAGCUUGACGGAGCAACGCCGCGUGAGUGAUGAAGGUCUUCGGAUCGUAAAACUCUGUUAUUAGGGAAGAACAAAUGUGUAAGUAACUAUGCACGUCUUGACGGUACCUAAUCAGAAAGCCACGGCUAACUACGU
This 496-nucleotide ribosomal RNA is filed under the name uncultured bacterium. RNAcentral describes it as "partial 16S ribosomal RNA". It matches the Rfam family "Bacterial small subunit ribosomal RNA", at positions 28 to 506 of the family's 1533-position model. The record is from RNAcentral.